GACGAACGCUGGCGGCGUGCUUAACACAUGCAAGUCGAACGGUGAAGCUCCAGCUUGCUGGAGUGGAUCAGUGGCGAACGGGUGAGUAACACGUGAGCAACCUGCCCCUGACUCUGGAAUAAGCGCUGGAAACGGCGUCUAAUACUGGAUACGAGAAGGGUCCGCAUGGGCACUUUCUGGAAAGUUUUUCGGUUGGGGAUGGGCGCGCGGCCUAUCAGCUUGUUGGUGAGGUAAUGGCUCACCAAGGCGACGACGGGUAGCCGGCCUGAGAGGGCGACCGGCCACACUGGGACUGAGAGACGGCCCAGACUCCUACGGGAGGCAGCAGUGGGGAAUAUUGCACAAUGGGCGAAAGCCUGAUGCAGCGACGCCGCGUGAGGGAUGACGGCCUUCGGGUUGUAAACCUCUUUCAGCAGGGAAGAAGCGAAAGUGACGGUACCUGCAGAAGAAGCACCGGCUAACUACGUG
Molecule: ribosomal RNA, 468 nt
Filed under: uncultured bacterium
Lineage: Bacteria
Description: partial 16S ribosomal RNA
Rfam family: Bacterial small subunit ribosomal RNA
Source: RNAcentral